This 253-nucleotide ribosomal RNA is filed under the name uncultured bacterium. RNAcentral's name for it is "partial 16S ribosomal RNA". It matches the Rfam family "Bacterial small subunit ribosomal RNA", at positions 524 to 776 of the family's 1533-position model. The record is from RNAcentral.
UACGGGGGGGGCAAGCGUUGUUCGGAAUUACUGGGCGUAAAGGGCUCGUAGGCGGCCAACUAAGUCGGACGUGAAAUCCCCAGGCUCAACCUGGGAACUGCGAUGGAGACUGCAAGGCUAGAAUCUGGCAGAGGGGGGUAGAAUUCCACGUGUAGCAGUGAAAUGCGUAGAGAUGUGGAGGAACACCGAUGGCGAAGGCAGCCCCCUGGGUCAAGAUUGACGCUCAUGCACGAAAGCGUGGGGAGCAAACAGG